GCAACAUUGCCCAGCCUUGGAGGGCUUUACAUGCACCACCAUGCACUACAACACACAGCAAGGAAUAUGCCAAGGACCCACAGCUGCUGUUCGGCAGCUCUUUCCUCUCAAACUCAGGGGACUUGUUCCACUAUCUGUCGAAGCCACAAAUACUGAUAUGGCACCAAGUGCAUCACCCUUGUGCCAAAGCUUCUCAAACAAACUUGACAAACCAAAAACAACAUUACUUUGCAUGGCUUGCAUGGCCAAGGAAGCCCACGUGGUAGCCAUGCCACCAGCUGAUGGUGUUUUCACUACUGGCUUUCACCAAGUCGGCAACAACCCAUUUUGCUUUGCCAUUUGGUUCACCGAGCCUUCAUCAUCU
Molecule: long non-coding RNA, 364 nt
Filed under: Prunus persica (peach)
Lineage: Eukaryota; Viridiplantae; Streptophyta; Magnoliopsida; Rosales; Rosaceae
Description: long non-coding RNA (PPER_LNC000612)
Source: RNAcentral